AUGGCCUCAAUAUUCACUCAACAUUUACACAUUCAUUCCCGUCAGCAGGCACCUCCAUUUUUCCCUUCAAUGUAUAUCAAGCUGCAAUCACUUUUCCACCAUGCAGUCAGCCACUGUCAUGCACUCCCACAGAUGUGUCCAUCUUUUAUUGUUUUUUAUUUGGCUGUAGUCAGUUCUACACAGAGAUGGUUUGAAAACUUCAACCAGUCCUGUCACCCAUGCUUAAGUCCAGGAGUGCUGAAUCUCCUUGAGCUGGCCUCCCCUGGCCCCUACCCUUUUCCCCAUCACCCACUCCACUUAAGUCCCAGUGACCACACUGCUGUCCCUCCAUCACAUCGCAGGUAUUCCAAACUCGGGACGUGCAUAAGCGCUGCCAUCUCUGACCAGAAAGCCCUCUGCAGAUUUUGA
RNAcentral lists this long non-coding RNA (408 nucleotides) under Capra hircus (goat). Its description in RNAcentral is "lncRNA (ENSCHIG00010017891.1)". The record is from RNAcentral. Lineage: Eukaryota; Metazoa; Chordata; Mammalia; Artiodactyla; Bovidae.